UCGCAUUCUGGUGAGGGCACAGACAGGAAAUAAACAAACUGAUAAACCAAUAGUUUCAAAGAAUAGUAGUGCUAUGAACAAAAUAAAACCAGUUCAUAAGAACAGAGAGUAGCUGGGGGCGGGGGGCAACAUCGAAGUUAUUUCAGGGCACAAGGGGAGCCUGCUCAGGGCAGUUCUAGCAGAAGAGUGUUCCACCUGGAGGGGACAGGUUGGGCCAAGAUCCUGCGGGGGGAACAAGCAAGGAGGCCAGUGGUUGGAGCCCAGGGAGCAAGGGAGUAUGGGAAGAGGUGAGGACCACCCAGGGCCUUAAAGCUGCAUCAGGAUUUUGGAUGUGUUUUAAGUGCAACAGGAGGACACUUGGGAGUGCCUGGGGGGCUCAGUACGUUGAGUAUUCAAGUUUGGCUCAGGUCAUGAUAUCACAGUUCCUGAGUUCGAGUCCCGCAUCGGGCUCUGUGCUGACCCCCUCGGAGCCUGGACCCUGCUUCAGAUUCUGUGUCUCCCUCUCUCUCUCUGCCCCUCCUCCACUCACACUCUGUCUCUCUCUUAAAAAUAAACACUAAAAAUUAAAAAAAAAAGGAAGACAUUGGAGAGGGUAAGCAGAGAAGUGAUGUGAUAAUGCCUUAAAAAAUUGUUCUGGCUGCCACGCAGAGGGUGGGCCAGGGGGGCAAGGAGGGAAGGAGGAGAUCACAUUCAGAGAGACAGAUGACGGUGGGCAGAGAGCAGACGCACUAUGGAGGCAGAGCCCCUGCCUUGUGGGAUUCCAUGCGGGAGACAGAGUGAGGAAUCUGGGUGACUCGGGGCUUGCAGCUGGACUGGCUGGUGGGCUAGUUACUGAACGGGGAAGACCUGAGAUGAAGCUGGUAGACUGUGACUCGGGGUCUGUCUGGACCUUCUUUCGAGCUGCCUUUUAGACUCCCAGGUGGGAAGAUCACAUGCCAGACCCUCCUGGCUGUCAGUUCUGAGGCGGGGACCUGUCCAUCCCGUUUACCAUUUUAUCCCCAGCCCUAGAGCAGGGCCAGCCGGACCUAAGGUGGGCUCUCAGUAGAAAUAUGGUGGGUCACGGGCUGAGAUGGGCUGAUCAUGCACCUGUACUUCCACUAAUUUUUUUGGCCCCCAGAUAUAAUAACAGGACAUACUCUACAGAGGUAAUAGCGGGCCAGAUCCACAGAAAUGCUAAAGCAGUGGUUGUCGGAGCAUGGUCCCCAGACCAGCCAGCAUCAGCCGCACCUGGACAUUGUUACAAAUGCAAAUUCCUAGGCCCCUCCCCACACCCACAGAGUCAGAAACUGUGGGAGCGGACGUUAAAGCCACAAGGCUGCCAGGCGGUUUUGAUGCGGGCUAAACUUUGAAGCUGCUGUCCUAUGGGGCCUAUGGCCUCAUUCUCGGGGUCAUGUAGACUCUAUGCCUGGGAAAAAACAAAACAAAACAAAAGAUGGUUUGGGCCCUUCUUGCUGAAUAGGUCCAGACCACCCUGGGCCAACAUUUAACUGGGCUCUGGGCUCCCCGGACCCCACCCGGACUCCCAGAAUCCUCACACCCAUCCCUCAGCCAUUGUGGUUCUGGGCAGAGCCAGGUGGUGGCGCCAGCGCCUUAGGCUUCAGUCUGGCUUUGGGAGCUAGAGACCCCGGAAGAAUUGUCCCCCUCCCCUGCGCCUUCUUCCCCGCUGGGAGCCUCUGCUCCAAGGCCUGUCCGCUGGCAAAGGCUUUGCAGGAUGGCCUUCAUCAGGGAGAGGGGCUCUGAGGCUGGCACACCCAAGAUGGAGAAACUGAGGCAUGGCCAGUGUAAGUUGCUUGCCCGAGCCCAAGCAGAAUUGGCGUUUGAAACUGGUCUGCCUGCCGCUAUCCGGCCAGUCCUGGCGGUUCUGGAAUCGCUGUUGCCGUUGCUAUUGAAGUUUCUCCCUGAGCUCCUUGCCCGCCGCACUCCCCCCGACCCCACCAGGAAAGGUAUCUGGGUAUCGGUAGCACCGUCUGUGAAAUGGGAUCACUGACGGGCGGAGUUACCACCGGCUCCCGGAGCCAUGCCAGGCUCUGUGCUCAAUACCUUCCAAGUAUUUAUUAGCCCAUCAUUCCUCUGGGUGGCUGCGGGUCAGCCUGGGCUAGAAUCCCAGCUUUGCUGUUCUUGGCAUCCUGGCUUUGGGCGAGUGACUUUACAUCUCAGUGUCACGGUCCAAAACUGGAAAAUGGACGUGAGAACAAUA
Molecule: long non-coding RNA, 2197 nt
Organism: Felis catus (domestic cat)
Lineage: Eukaryota; Metazoa; Chordata; Mammalia; Carnivora; Felidae
Exons: 2
Source: RefSeq, a predicted model, not a curated record